Molecule: ribosomal RNA, 450 nt
Filed under: uncultured bacterium
Lineage: Bacteria
Description: partial 16S ribosomal RNA
Rfam family: Bacterial small subunit ribosomal RNA
Source: RNAcentral
AGCGAACGCUGGCGGCAGGCUUAACACAUGCAAGUCGAGCGGGCAUAGCAAUAUGUCAGCGGCAGACGGGUGAGUAACGCGUGGGAACGUACCUUUUGGUUCGGAACAACACAGGGAAACGUGUGCUAAUACCGGAUAAGCCCUUACGGGGAAAGAUUUAUCGCCGAGAGGUGGGCCCGCGUCUGAGUAUCUAGUUGGUGAGGUAAUGGCUCACCAAGGCGACGAUCAGUAGCUGGUCUGAGAGGAUGAUCAGCCAGAUUGGGACUGAGACACGACCCAAACUCCUACGGGAGGCAGCAGUGGGGAAUAUUGGACAAUGGGCGCAAGCCUGAUCCAGCCAUGCCGCGUGAGUGAUGAAGGCCCUAGGGUUGUAAAGCUCUUUUGUGCGGGAAGAUAAUGACGGUACUGCAAGAAAAGCCCCGGCUAACUUCGUGCCAGCCGCCGCCGUAA